RNAcentral lists this long non-coding RNA (1125 nucleotides) under Sus scrofa (pig). RNAcentral describes it as "lncRNA (ENSSSCG00070017007.1)". Lineage: Eukaryota; Metazoa; Chordata; Mammalia; Artiodactyla; Suidae. The record is from RNAcentral.
AGCUGGGACAGACGUCUAAAUAGGACGAGAGCAGGGGCAGAAAGGGAGAGGCAGCCUCUACCUGAUCUGAUCAGGGAAGGCUUCCUGGAGGAGGAGAAUAUAAUUCUUACCCGCUAACGUCCACAGGGAACUCACAGAGCAGAGUGGGGUUGUUCCCUUAACAUCCAGCAGUUCCCAGAUGUGGCAAAAAUUAAUAUUGUAUACGUAAGGUUUUGGAGGUGGCCUCAGAAGUGUAAACGCCUCGCAGAGGAAUGAUGCGGAACAGGGCUGGCCAAAUCAACAUGGAACCACAGAUUACAAACACCGGUUCUGCGAAGCAGCCAGAAUCAGAGAUGCGCAGGAUGAGCGGGAGCUGUUUAGGACUCCUCUGCCGUUUUCCAUCCAACCAUCUCUGAGCCCUCCCCUGAUUUCUCUUCCCAAGGGCUGGCGCAUCCAUCUUCCCCCUGCUAUGGCAGCUGGCAAGCAAGAGUCGUCCUUCCCAGACAGAGCAGCUGAGGCCCAGAGAGGUUCAUCGCAGUGGCCAAGGUCACACAGGAGCAGAGAAGUAAUGGGCUUUGAACCUAACGUCUCAGCCCACCGCUCCAAGUACCUAUUCCUCCGUUAAUGCCCUCCCUCUUGUGAGUCUAUAAUUCAAAACAGUCACUUGGAAGCAACGCCAAGAGGGGGUUGUGAGGAAAAGCAGGAGGAAGAAUCUGAUAACUCUACCAAAUCAUUGUCCUUGAUAUAUUCUCUGCCUAUUAAAUCAGUUACUCCAAAGGUCCAGCAUCUUUUGUUACUAAUGUCUGGCCAUGCUGAAAUGUUUUAAAUGUUCAUCUAAUGCUUACAUAAAUUUUGAGCUUGAAAUCUCCAAUCUUUGGAAAUCUUUUCUAAUCCUAGGUAAAGGAAUGGCUAAAAUAACCUCAUUCCUGGAUACAUUUCACCUGUCAAUCUAGAUAUCUGAAGAGAGCUAUUUAAAAAAAAAAAAAAAAAAAAAAAAACAGGGUUUGCUUCCAGCCUUAGCAUUGCAACACUAUUUGCCAAGGUGAUUACAUCCAAGGAAAUACCAUUAAGUUUUCCUUUCCAGGCCAAUAGACAUCCAGGGUUUAAAACCCUGACUUCAUCAAUGAGAGUCUCAGAGUCUAAACC